Molecule: ribosomal RNA, 254 nt
Filed under: uncultured bacterium
Lineage: Bacteria
Description: partial 16S ribosomal RNA
Rfam family: Bacterial small subunit ribosomal RNA
Source: RNAcentral
UACGUAGGGCGCAAGCGUUUGUCCGGAAUUAUUGGGCGUAAAGAGCUCGUAGGCGGUCUGUCGCGUCUGCCGUGAAAACCCGAGGCUUAACCUCGGGCUGGCGGUGGAUACGGGCAGACUAGAGGUAGGUAGGGGAGAAUGGAAUUCCCGGUGUAGCGGUGAAAUGCGCAGAUAUCAGGAGGAACACCAAUGGCGAAGGCAGCUCGCUGGGACGGUACUGACGCUGAGACGCGAAAGCGUGGGGAGCGAACAGG